GUCCAGACUCCUACGGGAGGCAGCAGUGAGGAAUAUUGGUCGAUGGGCGGGAGCCUGAACCAGCCAAGUCGCGUGAGGGAUGACGGCCCUAUGGGUUGUAAACCUCUUUUGCCGGGGAGCAAAGUGCCGCACGUGUGCGGUUUGGAGAGUACCCGGAGAAAAAGCAUCGGCUAACUCCGUGCCAGCAGCCGCGGUAAUACGGAGGAUGCGAGCGUUAUCCGGAUUUAUUGGGUUUAAAGGGUGCGUAGGCGGACGCUUAAGUCAGCGGUAAAAUGUCCGGGCUCAACCCGGGCCGGCCGUUGAAACUGGGGAUCUUGAGUGGGCGAGAAGUAUGCGGAAUGCGUGGUGUAGCGGUGAAAUGCAUAGAUAUCACGCAGAACUCCGAUUGCGAAGGCAGCAUACCGGCGCCCGACUGACGCUGAGGCACGAAAGCGUGGGGAUCGAACAGGAUUAGAUACCCCCGUAG
RNAcentral lists this ribosomal RNA (466 nucleotides) under uncultured bacterium. RNAcentral describes it as "bacterial SSU rRNA". It matches the Rfam family "Bacterial small subunit ribosomal RNA", at positions 329 to 793 of the family's 1533-position model. The record is from RNAcentral.